UAACCAAUAAUCAGAACAAGUACAAAAUAAAUAUAAAUAUCCUAAACAAAAAUUGACAUAAAGGUUUUAGAUUAGUCUCACUCUCAAGUGACAUAGCACCACAUCUACAUUCUAGCAUUAAGAACAAGGUGAUAUCAAACUCUCAACGCAUACGUAACGCAUGAUUUUCGACUCACUAAACUUAAAAGUGUCAUUUCUAGAAUUGUGAAAAACCAACUUCUGUGUCCGUUCCUUUUCAUAAAUACAAUCCAACAACAAACGGCCAUCCGUUUGUUGAGGAUGAAGGAAAAUCUCGCAUGAAAGAAACACUAUACAACUCUUUAAACACUAUUGGUAAAGUAUUAGCGACUCAAAAGGCCCAACAAGUAUUUAUUUUUUUAAAAAGGAAAAAGGCCUGACUAGUUCAGAUAUAAAUAAUAUGCUUUUAUACAACUGGAAUAAACAACAAAAAAUUUAUCAUCAUGCGAGUUUUGCAGAGACAUGAUUGAUACCCGCGUACCUUUUUCCAUAGCAAGAAGAUAGUGAUGUUGCACCUUUAUUCUGCUAUGAAGCAUUUUGGUGCGUUGAGAAAAAUCGGAGUUAAAGUAAGAAGAUAGUGAUGAUUCAAAUUCUGCAGCAGAUGUUAUUUUCAAGCUACCACAGCAGCUCUCAGGGGAUGAAGCGGCGCUGUUUGCUUGUAUUUUGCAGAGUAUUUGGAAGCAAUGCAACAAUACACUUUGAAACAAUACAAUUGAGGCGCAAAAUUCAGUGUUAAUGCAGCCAAAAGUGGUGCUGCAGGACUGGAAAGCUAGCAGUCCACGAAAUCACAAACAGGGCAGAAUUGGUGCAGGCUGAUACAAAACUGUCAUUUGUAAACAAGGCAUUGGCAUUUAUAUUAGAGAAGAAAGCAAUCCACACUACACAUAGUAUAAUGUGUUAGUACAGCUUACCCUUACGGGAAAUUUUAGUACACCUAAUGAUAUAUGAAAACAUAAACCAUAUAUAAUAUGCAAAUAAUUCCAACAGCAACAUGGUGGGUACGUUAUUAUGGUCUGCAACAGCCAACAUCAGAAUUGUUUGGACACAAUACGAAAAAUCCAUUUAUCCAAAAAUAACAAACACUUUUAACUGGUUGUUAGAAUGAAAAAUAAUGAUUAACAUUUAGUUUAUCGAGUGCUCUUAUUACCGUUCAACAUUUGCACAAUCUUUCUUAAUAGACAGGCAGCUCAUUAUAGCAAUACCCGCAUAUCAAAAUGGUAUGUUCUUCUGUUGGUGCUUUCACAAUGACCAGAAAAAAUGAUAAAAACAUAUUAUUUUCACAAUGACCAGGGCAUGAUAAAAACAUGAUUUUGGCAUAACAUCUAAGUUGAUAUUAGAAAAUCUAACCUCAAACCAAGUAAAUCAAUGCAUGACUUUGAAGUAUAUAUAAUGAAAUGCAUGAGAGAACAAAACCUUCUAACAAACAAAUAAAUAAAAAUAACUACAAUUUAUCAAGUUGCAUAUUGAAAUGAACCUUAACAAUAAUAUCCAAAACAGAAAUUGAAAUAUAGGUUUUAGUUUAAUCUCACUCUCAAGUGACAUAGUACCACAUCUACAUUCUAGCAUUAAGAACAAGGCGAUAUCAAACUCUCAACGCAUACGUCAUGCAUGAUUUUCGGCUCACUAAACUUAGUAGUACCAUUUCUAGAAUUGUAAAAAACCAACUUCUUUGUACAUUCCUCUGUAGAAAUAGAAUCCAACAACACACGGCCAUCCUCAAAAAUAUGUAGUACUUCGAUAGUGGCAUAAGAUGAAAGAUGAUCUCGCAUGUAAGAAACACUAUACAAUUUAGUCCAAGAGUCUUUAUUUCCAUGUUCCUUCAUAAUCCAAACAUCAUGACCAAAAACCAGGCACAAACAAUCCCUCAACACACCCAGGUGCCAACGCAAAGUAGAUACAUCUACCUCCUUAGGCAGCAAAACUUCUUUAUAAGACUCGUUUCCCAAAUCUAGAGAAACAAUCUGAAUUUCUUUAUGAUAUUCAUUAUAGACCAACCAAUUGAUCGUGCCACUCACAAAUUUUCCCAAAAGUUGCAAAGGAACACAGCCAAAAGGAAAUUUUUGAAUGGUUUUCCAAGAAUUGGUGCCCAAAGUAUGAACCUUCACUUCAUGGUUGUCAACAAACUUAGCACUCGUAUCACGUACUCGUAAACCAACCACCACAUUGUAUGCAUUAGUAAUAACAUCAUAGCCGAAGCCAUAGAUUAAAUCCUGACGAAAAUGAUUUUGUUGCUUUUGAAGAGAGGGCAAUUCCUUAAAUUUUCUAAUGGAAGGGUUCCACAAUCGAAGAAUCAUGUAGUCUCCAAAAUCACUUAAAAGACAUAGGAUGCCAUUGAAUGAGCCAACAUGGUAAACAGAAACGUCGGAAGGAAACUCUACCUGCACGAUGGGGUUGGUGGUUACAUCAUCAAAAACGGAGUCGAGUGGGUAAGACUUUAGAACAUAAUUGCUUGAGUUGAUUGAGGUGUGGACGAGGUGCGUAUUUGAGAGACGGAGGUGUUUCAUGGCGAACUUGGAAUCGGAGAUUAGAGAAUUCCAUGACUUGCAGACAGAUCGGAGUUGAAGGAGGAGCUUCACUGGAAGUCUAGUUAGAAUUUCUGAAAUGAGAUCCAAAGGAAGAGUGGGAAGUUGUGGUGGCGCGUGAAGCGACAACGAUGAUGUUAGGGCUUUGGCUAAUGUUUCAUCAGUCAAUGAAGGAGAAGAAACGGCGUCGCGUUGGUCCAUGUUAUUAGCACCGAUUUGGUGAGGAAUAGAUAUGCAGAAACGAUUAGGGUUUAGUGGUUCUGUCGUCUUCUCUGCAAGAAACUAAGAACGAUGAGGUGAGGUGGCAGCGGUGGGUCCUCUUUUGUUGGUAAAUGGGCCUGCUUUACCAUCAGAACCAGACCAAUAUGAGAAUUUUUUUAACUAAUUCUCAGUUAUUGCUUGCUGUAUCAAAUUCUGAAGGGGUGGGAAGAGGAUUUCGUAUGGGAGGAUUUGGAUUUAUCGGAGUAUAGUGAUACUCUCUUGUUACACUCUUUUACUCUCAAAUUAUAUGCUAGCUAAUAUAUAGAUUAUUAACUUGUCAAAAUUGUGUAUAAGUAAACUUUUUUUUUAUACUUCAAACCUAGUCACCAAAUAAAUAUAUUUUAGAUGUGAUAUUAUAGUGUGUUUUAGGUUAAAAUAAAAAAAAAAAAAAAAAAACAUUCGGCUUAAAAUAUUACAUAUAUAAACGGAAUACAUUUUUUGGUGUCAAUUUUUCCUUUCUAGGUUAAAAUUGAUUUGCGCUUCUUCACUUACUGAAAUGUCAUUUAUAAACUAAUAGUUGUUUAUAGAAUAGCUAAAUGAAAACUUUUAAGAGAUUAAAUUACAUAAUUAAUAUGAUAAAUUAUUGGAAGAACCAUGGUUAUUACCAAUAAAAAGGAUAUUUUUAGAAAGGAAAAAAGUUCAAACUAGCUCCGAUGUUCUACUUAACCGAGUUAAAAUCCUAUGCCGCCAAGAAAUGUAAAAAAAAUUUGCACGCAACGUACAAGAUAAUGAAGGGUGGUGGCUCAACAAACAAUCAAAAUGAAAACUCGUAUCAUGCCAUGAACUUGUGUGCCCUCAACUUGCAAUUUUGUUACACAGAUGUAAAAACCAACACAUUUCCUUUUUUCUUUGGGGGUGGGGCCAUGGUAAUAUGGUCAUUUCCCAAGAACUUUUUUACUCCCUAUACUCUUCAAACCCAAACAAUACUAAGCUUUAAUAACCAAUGCCUAAGCAGCAAAGAGAAGAAGACAAAAAUCUGUGCCUACAGAGUUGGAAAAGUGCGUCGAAGCUGUCCAAAACAAGACAUCUAGAAACGAGCACAAGGCAACAUUCACUGAAAGCAGUUCGUCCACCCCUUCUGGUAUGUCUAUCAUAAGCAGUAGAGAAUUUGUCCACCAAAUCAUUCAUUGCACUACAGGAAGACAGGUAUAUGAAAAAAGAGCAUGUAUUAAUAACAACACAUGGAUACAAUACAAAGUUAAAAUUCUGAACUGAAAUUGCAUUCAAGUUCCUUAGUUUUGAAAAUAUAUUCACAUAUCUCACGGAAAAUGUUACGCAACACACCUAUACUACCAUCAACAUAUUUCUACUAAUUUUUUCACAAAAAUUAUAUUCAUGAGAAAAAGAUAAAGGAUAUGGAAAUAAGGAUGUUGUGAUGCAUCCAUUCAAUGACCUAUAUACAGUAUGCGUACAAUGAGAUGACUGGAAAACUGCAAUGUUAAGAGGGGUAUAAAAAAGGUCACAGGGAGAAGACCAAUAAGGAUGUUAAGACCUCAAAUGAGAAUUGGACCCAAAUAGACAAUUGGCUAAUCAGUUGCGCAAGCCCAAUAGAUGGAGAGUGAUGUUCUCAAAACAUAGGAAAGAAGAGGGAAAUAAUAAGGCGUGGCAGGGGUGAGAGUGAGCAUAGGAGAGGGAAGGGUAUUUAGAAUCUUUUUUCUACUAGAAACCAUUUGGUUUGGCUUUAGAGAGUCAUCUCUUAUCUAUGUGGAGCUUUGCUCUGGGCAGUAGGAGUACCGUUCAACGGUAAUUUUCCUUUUUCGUAAAUGAUACAUUCCAUUUAUUAAGUGUUGCUGUGUUAUUUUCUCCGUUAGGUUCUGGGUCCCUGACAGGCUAUAUUGUAAAUGGGGCAUCGUGAAUCUACCAUGAAAGAUAGAGCAUAACGACGUAAUAGAAUCCAUCCAUUAAGUUAUACAUACGAAUAGACUCUACUCAAAUGACUCUCCCUUGGCAAGUACCUCUGACUGAAGGUUAUGCUUUUCCUAGGGAAUGCUGCUGUAUAGGGAAUGAAAGAAAAACUGUGCUAUGGAUGUGGUUAUUAUGGGGUACCAAAGUCCUACGAUGAGUAGUAUGUUAAUGUGAUGCUCAGUGUAGUAUUUAAGUGGUUUGGUUUUUUCCCCACUGAUAACUAGCUUUUAAAGGAAGAUUAUUUCCCAAGCGCUCAAAUGCAUGUCAAAAUGCAACCUUGUAUUUAUUUUUCUACCAAUUUGAUUUGCUGCUUAAUGAAAUUUAAAAUAAAAAGUAGUUAUGCUAAAAUAACUGCCUUUUGCUAGGAAAAAAAACAAAUACAAUUACAAAACGCAAAAGAAAACAAACAAAGGAAACAGUUACUAGUAUGUCAUACCUUGAGCAGUUGGUCAGCAUGGCAAGGUAACUGAUCAAUAAGGUGUCAUUGUAUUCCUGCAAGGGAAAGAAGAUAUUGUAAGCUAAAAAAAAUUAUACGAGCCUUUAUGCUAUAUUUUACUGUGAUAUUAAGCCCACAAUCCAGCACAGAUACCAUAGUGAAGCAACAUGAAUCUUCACAGAAAAACAUUAUCGUAAUAGCAAUAAUCUCCAACGUUUCAUAGUGGGAAUAGUCCUUAUAUUUGUAGUGGUGUUAUAGAGACCACUCAAGCUAAGAAAAUCAGAGAGUAUUAUUAAUUACUGAAAAUAGGAACUAAUACAGAAACAUAUCACAACAAUCUCAGACCCAAGCUCAGAGAGAAGAUGCUUAACGCAUUAUCUGUGUGGCCGAAAACUACAAAGUACCAAUACGAAUGACUGAUUGCCCCCUCAUUGGCUCAGUCCACUCUCCUCAUACCAAUCUCCUCAUAUCAAUCCCUGUACACAUUUCAUUUUCUAAAUUCUAACAAGCAUUAAUAUCCAACAUAGUUCAUGUCAUGAUAUAUAUGAUUAUGCACACAAAAACUCAAAUAAACCAAGCACGGUAAGCGUGCAGAAAAAAAAAAUUAAGCCUAUCAAUGCUCCCUCCCCGCUACUUGCAAAGGUUAUCUUCCCCAAACCAAAAAAAGAAAGGUUGUAGCUUAUAGUGAAAUUUUCAAAAUCAAACACUCACCAUCAAGAAAUCAUCUUGAAAUUUCCCAGAUUCAAAAGCAGGCAAUCUUCUCAGGAGACUCGACACUUGCCUUAAUAGUGAAUUCUCACAAGGAACGUCACCUAUUUUUAAAACAAUAAGGUUUAAAUGGUUUAACUUCAGGGAGAUACAAUAUAGGUUGGCUAUGUAUAAUAUAUGGUUGAAGCAGGAAACGAAAAUAUUAUUCACAGAAUCAAUGGGCAUUAUUAGUCUAUUACUCUGUUGAAAAUAGGGUUGAAACUGAUUUUUGAAAUAUAAUUUAAGUAUUAAAAGUCCUCCCUGCAAUAACAGAAAACUAGUUUAAACUGUCACUAAUGUAUUUAUUCUCGCUUUUAUUUCUCCAACUCUUCAAACACUAUUGGUAAAGUAUUAGCAACUCAAAAGGCCCAACAAGUAUUUAUUUUUUAAAAAGGAAAAACGCCUGACUAGUUCAGAUAUAAAUAAUAUGCUUUUAUACAACUGGAAUAAACAACAAAAAAUUUAUCAUCAUGCGAGUUUUACAGAGACAUGAUUGAUACCCGCGUACCUUUUUCCAUAGCAAGAAGAUAGUGAUGUUGCACCUUUAUUCUGCUAUGAAGCAUUUUGGCGCGUUGAGAAAAAUCGAGAGUUAAGGUAACAAGAUAGUGAUGAUUCAAAUUCUGCAGCAGAUGUUAUUUUCAAGGUACCACAGCAGCUCUCAGGGGAUGAAGCGGCGCUGUUUGCUUGUAUUUUGCAGAGUAUUUGGAAGCAAUGCAACAUUCAGUGUUUAUGCAGAGUAUUUGGAAGCAAUGCAACAAUACACUUUGAAACAAUACAAUUGAGGCGCAAAAUUCAGUGUUUAUGCAGCCAAAAGUGGUGCUGCAGGACUGGAAAGCUAGCAGUCCACGAAAUCACAAACAGGGCAGAAUUGGUGCAGGCUGAUACAAAACUGUCAUUUGUAAAGAAGGCAUUGGCAUUUAUAUUAGAGAAGAAAGCAAUCCACACUACACAUAGUAUAAUGUGUUAGUACAGCUUACCCUUACGGGAAAUUUUAGUACACCUAUUGAUAUAUGAAAACACAAACCAUAUAUAAUAUGCAAAUAAUUCCAACAGCAGCAUGGUGGGUACGUUAUUAUGGUCUGCAACAGCCAACAUCAGAAUUGUUUGGCAACAAUACGAAAAAUCCAUUUAUCCAACAAUAACCAACACUUUUAACUGGUUGUUAGAAUGAAAAAUAAUGAUUAACAUUUAGUUUAUCAUAUUUUAUCGAGUGCUCUUAUUACCGUAUCAACAUUUGCACAAUCUUUCUUAAUAGACAGGCAGCUCAUUAUAGCAAUACCCGCAUAUCAAAAUGGUAUGUUCUUCUGUUGGUGCUUUCCUUUACUAUUUCAUACUCACUUUUGUUGCAGAAUAUGAUGCUCCGCCACACCGCUUACUCCGGACUCAAUCCAGAUUACUCAUUCCUGACAUAUCAUCCACUCUCCUAACUACUUUUGAUUUACCGAUGAGUUUAGUUUUAUGAAGGUAGUUUGGCCUGCCACAAUCAAAGGAUAUAGCUACCAUCCUUUUACAACGUUCGAUUAUCCUAUAUUGACCCAUCACAUUUGACGUGUCCAAGGUCACAAUAACUGUUGAAAUAGAUAAAUAUUUCUAGAAUAUUCUAGUUUAAAAAAUGACAAUGUCUAUUAGAAAAACUAGAAUAGCUUAAAGUUGCCACAUGUUUAUAUAUUGUUCUAUUGAUGACUAGGUUAAGUUGUAGCCUAGAAACAUCUAUUAGUGAAACAAUUUCAGUUGCAACCAUCAUAUUCAGUCUAAACAGCAUCAUGUUAUGUUAAUAAUACGAGAACACACAUCAAGUACAUCCCAAAAAUGGCUUCGAAGUCAAAGUCAUGAACUAAUUCCUCAUCCUUCUCUUUCAUUUUAAUUCAAUGUUCAUAUUUCGGACAGAAUGUGGACUUGAACUUGGUCACCACAUUAUUUAGCAGAAGUUUUCCCUUCCAUUAAGGAUAACAGAAAAAGUAAGAAAAAAUAGUAUGGGGAUAAGUCAUGUUGAGAAGAACUAAAUAGUAAUAACAUGAUUUUGGCAUACCAUCUAAGUUGAUAUUAGAAAAUCUAACCUCAAACCAAGUAAACCAACGCAAGAUUUUGACUUAUAUAAAAUGAAAGGCAUGAGAGAACAAAACCUUCUAACAAAAAUAAAUAAAGAUAACUACUGCAUAUUCAAAUGAACCUUAACAAUAAUCCAUCAAGUAACCAAUAAUCAGAACAACUACAAAAUAAAUAAAAAUAUCCUAAACAGAAAUUGACAUAAAGGUUUUAGAUUAGUCUCACACUCAAGUUACAUAGCACCACAUUUACAUUCUAGCAUUAAGAACAAGGUGAUAUCAAACUCUCAACGCAUACGUCACGCAUGAUUUUCGACUCACUAAACUUAAAAGUGCCAUUUCUAGAAUUGUGAAAAACCAACUUCCGUGUCCUUUCCCCUUCAUAAAUACAAUCCAACAACAAACAGCCAUCCUAAAAAAUAUGUAGUACUUCAAUAGUGGCAAAAGAUGAAGGAAAAUCUCGCAUGAAAGAAACACUAUACAACUUAGCCCACGAGUCAUUAUUUCCAUGUUCCUUCAUAAUCCAAACAUCAUGACCAAACACCAGGCAAAAACAAUCCCUAAACACACCCAAGUACCAACGCAAACGCAAAGUAGAUGAAUCAACAUCCUUCGGCAGCAAAACUUCCUUACAAGACUCGAUUCCCAAAUCAAGAGAAACAAUACAAUCUUGAAAUUUGUUAUCA
This 8620-nucleotide long non-coding RNA is filed under the name Medicago truncatula (barrel medic). RNAcentral's name for it is "long non-coding RNA (MTRU_LNC000118)". The record is from RNAcentral. Lineage: Eukaryota; Viridiplantae; Streptophyta; Magnoliopsida; Fabales; Fabaceae.